UAAGGAAUAUUGGACAAUGCCCGCAAGGGUGAUCCAGCCAUGCCGCGUGCAGGAAGACGGCCCUAUGGGUUGUAAACUGCUUUUGUACGGGAGAAAACCCUCGCUCGUGAGCGAGGCUGAUAGUACCGUAAGAAUAAGCAUCGGCUAACUUCGUGCCAGCAGCCGCGGUAAGACGAAGGAUGCAAGCGUUAUCCGGAUUCAUUGGGUUUAAAGGGAGCGUAGGUGGCCUUGUAAGUCAGUGGUGAAAUCCUGUCGCUUAACGACAGAAUUGCCAUUGAUACUGCAGGGCUUGAGUACAGAUGCCGUUGGCGGAAUAUGACAUGUAGUGGUGAAAUACUUAGAUAUGUCAUAGAACACCGAUUGCGAAGGCAGCUGACGAAACUGUAACUGACACUGAGGCUCGAAAGUGUGGGGAUCAAACAGG
Molecule: ribosomal RNA, 424 nt
Filed under: uncultured bacterium
Lineage: Bacteria
Description: bacterial SSU rRNA
Rfam family: Bacterial small subunit ribosomal RNA
Source: RNAcentral